AUUGAACGCUGGCGGCGUGCCUAACACAUGCUAAGUCGAGCGGCAGCGACGGGAGCAAUCCUGGCGGCGAGCGGCGGACGGGUGAGUAAUGCUUGGGGAAUCUGCCUGUUAGUGGGGGACAACCCGGGGAAACUCGGGCUAAUACCGCAUACGCACUACGGUGGAAAGCCGGGGACCGCAAGGCCUGGCGCUAACAGAUGAGCCCAAGUCGGAUUAGCUAGUUGGUAGGAACGGCCUACCAAGGCGACGAUCCGUAACUGGUCUGAGAGGACGACCAGUCACACCGGAACUGAGACACGGCCCAGACUCCUACGGGAGGCAGCAGUGGGGAAUCCUGCGCAAUGGGCGAAAGCCUGACGCAGCGACGCCGCGUGAGGGAUGACGGCCUCGGUGUAAC
RNAcentral lists this ribosomal RNA (397 nucleotides) under uncultured bacterium. Its description in RNAcentral is "bacterial SSU rRNA". It matches the Rfam family "Bacterial small subunit ribosomal RNA", at positions 29 to 429 of the family's 1533-position model. The record is from RNAcentral.